UGUAAAUAUACUUGUAGUACAUAGCUUUUCAUCUGCGUCUUCUUACGUAGCAUAUCUGGUGGAGGUGGACGUUCCCUGUAUGUACCUCGUCACGGAGCUUCGCAGUGAACGAAAAUAUCCUGGCUGAACUCCUGGGCUAAAGCUGCAAGAAAACAGCUUGACGGGGCCCAGGAGACCAUACAUACAUGGCGGCAUGUGACAGGCUUCAACUGAGCUGGAUACUGACGCCAGCGACGUAGGUGUUGGCGCUGUGCUUGUUCAGAUCUCCGGGGCUCGCCUGCGUGUCAUCGCCUGUGCCAGUCGGACACUUACAAGACCGGAGAGAGACUACACCGAGUGUUUCGAGCGAACUCGAGUGUCUAGCAAUCGUCUAUAGCAGUCCUCUAGCAGUGGUAUCCCACCUGCGGCCAGUUAUUUUUCCAUCCAGUUUUACUUCCACAAUUUAUCAUUUCUUUAAUUCCG
Molecule: long non-coding RNA, 462 nt
Organism: Dermacentor albipictus
Lineage: Eukaryota; Metazoa; Arthropoda; Arachnida; Ixodida; Ixodidae
Source: RefSeq, a predicted model, not a curated record